CCGAUUCCAGCUCAACAGCAAACCAUCAUCGUGGCUUCUUUUAAUUUAUUCCUCAAAUUCUAUUUGUUUUCAAUUCGAGAUUCUCGAAUCAGUACAAGUUUGUACUAUUUUUGCCACCUCAACUUUAUCCUUUUUAAAAAAAUUUGAAAACUCCUCAAAUAAUACCCAAAUUACCCCCCGAAUUUUCCUAUCCCACAUCGGUUGGAGCUAGUUUCUAAAUCCCAAAAUUUCUUCUAUAUAAAGCUCAUUGUUGAGCUAAAAGCUCCAAGUCGUGAAGGUAUUAAAAAAUACUUUUAAGCAAAGAGUUGAAAAUUUUACAAUUAAAUUAUUGAUUAAUCAGAGGUAUAAAGGCUGCUUCCAGUGGUGGCGGAUUCCGACGAAACUCGAGGUCUCAUUUUACUGUUCAAAAGUCAAUCAGUCUUCUACUUUUUCUUUUACUAUUGCGUUGUGAUGGUUGUAGCAGUAGUAGUUUCGAGUAUUGC
This 482-nucleotide long non-coding RNA is filed under the name Capsicum annuum. RNAcentral describes it as "long non-coding RNA (CANN_LNC017000)". Lineage: Eukaryota; Viridiplantae; Streptophyta; Magnoliopsida; Solanales; Solanaceae. The record is from RNAcentral.